GACAUAUGAUAUUGCAGAACCCCCGAUUAAUGAUAUUAACCAUUUUUGAGGGGUGAUGGCUGAUGUUGAAGUCGAUCAAUGGUGAUAAAUUUUACACAAUAAAUUUUACUCAGCCAGAAGUGAACGCAGUUACAGGUGUAGCAAAGAGGCAUUUGGGUUGUUUUCGAAGAUCCUUUUUUGAGAAAAAAAGGUUGUGCUAAAGUUAUACCUGUUGUCUAUGAACAUUCAUGGCAUUGUUAAAGGUUGAAGGUCAAGUAGCAGACAAAUGGGUGGUGAUGGCAUCCCCUUCAUAUUCAUCUGUUCCUGGAGGACUGCUAGUUGCUAGCUGCUUACUAGAUUUGCCUCAAUAUCCAUCACAGAAAGUUCUUGUGGUGCUAAAGGAUGACACUGAGCAUCACAUCAUUAUUCCAGGUAAGAGUUUUCAUAGCCAAUAUUCAUGUUCUGCAGAAAGUGAUGUCAAGUAAGAAUGUCCAACCUGAUGGUGCAGGAGGUUAUGGGCUAUGCCUGCAGUUUUUGCUUCACAUGAUCUUGAUGUUGGUCGGACUGACAAGGUUAAACACAAUAUCAAAUUGCAUGAUAACAAUCCUUUCAAGCACAGGGCUAGACCCAUACAUGCAGAUGAUUUUGAAGGCAUCCGUCGGCAUCUAAAAGAAUUACUUGAAGCCAGUAUAAUCCGUGAAUCUGAGUCAUCCGCUUCUUCACUGAUUAUGGUUGUCAAAAAGAAAAAUGGUGAUAUAGGACUUUGUAUUGAUUACCGCAAGUUGAACAUGCAGACAAAUAGGGACGCAUAUGCAUUGCCCAAUCUGGAAGAAGCUUUCUCAGCACUUCAGGGUUCAUAGUGGUUCUCUGCGCUCAAUCUCAAAUCUCGAUAUUACCAGAUUGAAGCUGAAGAAAGAGACAAACACAAGACUGCUUUUUUAUGCCCUUUGGUGUUCUGGGAGUUCAACCGAAUGCCCCAAGGCAUUACCGAUGCUCCCAGCAAAUUCAAAAGGCAUAUGGAGAAAUGCAUGGGUGCCAUCAAUCUUACCGCAGUCCUGGUAUUUUUUUUUAUGACUUUACUGUGUUUUCUGAAACAUUGGAAGAACUUGAAAACCAUCUUCUUUGUGUCCUAAAUCAUCUGAAAGACUAUAGGUUGAUGGACAGCAAAUUGUCAACAGGCUUUUGACACACUUAUCGAGAAGCUCACCAUGGCACCAGUACUAGGGUUUGCGGACCCUAAGUUGCCAUAUGAGGUGCACAUUGAUUCAGGCACCACCAGUUUAGGCACAGAGCUUUAUCAUGAACAGGGAGGGACUCUAUGAGUGAUUGCCUUUGCUAGUCAUGGCCUGUCAAAGAUUGAAGCCUGGUAUCCUGUCAGCAAGCUUGAGUUUUUAUUACUGAAGUGGGCUGUAACUGAAAAAGUUUGUGACUAGUAGCAGUUUCAAAGUGGUUAUAGACAGCAAUCCUCUAACUUAUGUCAUCAGCUAAGUUGGAUGCAACAAGCUACAGCUAGAUAUCUGCCCUAUCUACUUUCUCUUUCAUGCUCCAAUACUGCCUGGAGAAAAGCAAUCUGGAUGUGGAUGGACUUUUCUAGAUGCCCCCACAGUGCACUUGAUGAUUUAGCAUCUAGGAAAGAGCAAGAACUCCAGUUCACAUUGAAGGGUGGUUACUCCAUCUACCUACAGUUGUGGUCCAGGGAAACUGUGACAAACACACAGUAAACCCAGCCAAUGAUGACAAUUGCAUUCCCUUCACUGAAUCUCCAUCUGCCCUCUAUCUAUCUCUAUGUGCCCAGAGUUAAUCCCUGAGGGUUACAAGCAUUUUGAGGGAUCUCUGAUUGUUUUUGUAUGUCAAAACAAGAACUAAGAGAAAAGCAGAGAACUGAUCAAGCAAUACAAGAAAUAAUAAUUCAGAUGGAGUCAGGAGGAUCAUAUUGAGAUAAGAACUAGCAAAACUCCCUUCCUUGUUGAGAGAAUGGAAGAAAUUGGAGCUGAGGAAUGGCAUUCUUUAGCAGAAGAAUACAUUUACAAACUUGUUCUCCCACAAAAGCUAAGAUCUAUGGUUAUGGAAUGGGCCACUUGGGAAUAGUAGAGAAUAGUACGGACCCUUGAUCUCAUGAGGGCCCAUUUCUAAUGGUCCAGGAUGGCUAUCGAAGUUGAAAAUAAGGUAAAGACUUGCAGCCACUGUUUGUGUAGAAAGGCUCUACCAGAGAAAGCAGCUACACCAGUGAACAUUCAUGUCACUAGACUGUUUGAGCUGGUGUGUAUGGACAAACAGGCAGUGAGUCAGGUGAGGUGCAAACAGUGUAUCUAAGGUCCAGGCAAAAAUCCAGAAACAAGAUAAGACGCAAGGGUCAAAACUAGAAACAACAAACACGAUUAGAAGGGUUCGUUCUUCAGUUGAAUAAGCUGAACAAAUACUUCGGGAAGUGAAGGUUUGGUGAGGGUGCUUAUAUUUGUGUGCAGGUGAUUGAGUCCAGGUGUGUGCAAUCAAGAAUCGGGUGACUGUGAAAGUGACAAUGAAUAUAUGAUGUGGGUGUUGUAAUCCAAGGUGUCCAUGUUUGUAAACAGAGGUGCAUUGUAGCAAGUGGAGUUCAGUGCAGAAUCUGGUGUGGACAUGGCAGAACCCCACCCAUCCCACUUCCCCUCGAGGAGCUAACUCUGAGAGCAGAGUUCUUUGGCAAUGAGGCAAUUAGGUACUGCAGCUUGCCCUCCAAGCACUGGGAAUCGAGGAUUGCUCUGACUAGGUACACUGGUUGUGCUUUGAUUUCCAGAGGUUCAGGUGGGGUUGUCGAGGGAUUCCCUCCACCAGGGCAACUUGGAUGGCUUAUUUGAGGUGGGAUAUGUGAAAGGAUGUUUUUGUAUUUUUUGUAUUUUUGAAAAAGAGUGCUUUGUGUUGUGAAAUACAGAGUGUAAUUUGGUGGUUGGUGUGUGUACAAAUCUGCUUUGUGUGUGUUUCAUUUUGACUGGAUUAUUUGGCUAUGAGGCAUGUGUGUAGAGUUUUUACAUGAAAAGUGAGUUUUUUCCUUUAAGAUUUUCAGAAUAGUGUGUGUGAUUUGUUUUUCUAGUUGUAGGAAAUGUGUGUAAUGUUUGGGGAAAUGUGUGUAACCAAUUGGGGAAAACUGUAACAUGCUGUUAGCUUCCACUGCUAGGCUGAUGACACACAGCUGUAUGUUUCAGCAAAGCCAGCUUCAUAAUAUAAACUUACUGUAAAUUAAUGUUUUAAUUAAUUAAUAAAUUAAUUAAUUUAUCAAAUUUAUCCUGUAGUGGAGAAACGAGGAUUUUUGCUCUUAUAGAGAGUGUGCAUUUGUGUGUGUGUAUGUGUUUGUGUGUUCUACUCCACAGUGUGUGUCAUUGUGCUGUAUCACAUCGUCCCCCUCAGCACCUGCAGUAGUUCCCAGCUGCAGCAGUCACACUCACCCAGGUUUUUGUAUGACGCUCUAACACUGUGUGAACAUCUGUCUACUACUGAUCGUAUGUAUACUCUGACAGUAAUAAUCUCCAGCAUCUUCAGUCUGGACUCCACUGAUGGUCAGAGUGAAAUCAGAUCCAGAUCCACUGCCACUGAAACGAGCUGGAAUACCUGAUGCUCUACUGCUAGCCGCAUAGAUCAGGAGUUUAGGAGCUUCUCCAGCUUUCUGUUGAUACCAGAACAAACAGUUACCACCACAGCCAGCAUCAACAGCAGGACUGGUUUUACAGCUGAUGGUGACUGUGUCUUCUGGAGAAACAGAUUUCACUGCAGGACUCUGAGUCACAGUCACCUGACCUCUGGAUCCUGAAAAAAAUAAGAAGAAUAAAUCCGUUCCCUACAUUAAUAAUGAUGUUGAGUUUGAAGUUCAUCUAGUCAGCCUACUUCACAUGGAUUUGUCAGCUGAACAGUAGAAGAUAAAACAUUGUGUUACCUCGAGCGCAGAGGGUCAGUGUGCAGAUGAAGACGCUGAUCAAACUCAUGGUUGCUGUGGGUGAAGUCGCUGAGCAGCAGCUCUCAGUCAUGAAGUGUUAAAGUCACAGGGCUAUAAACACUCGCAGAGCGCUGAAGCAUGAGCUGCUAAUGCAAAGUGGAACCUCUCUCAAUGGAAACGUGUGUGUGUGUGUUUGUCUGUGUGUGGUCACUGUAGUGUAAAAGAGGUUUUUGUAUGACGGCUUCAUUAGAAUGUAUCACUGUGGUGGACUUUCGGUGGAGGAACCAAACUCAUCAUCACCGGUCCCGCGGUGAAGCCCUCCGUGUCUCUGCUCCCUCCCUCCUCUCUGCAGCUGUCUGAGGGAUCGGCCUCGCUGCUCUGCCUGCUGUCUGCCUACUCUCCACAGGGGGCGCUGGUGAGCUGGACAGUGGACGGCUCCCAGGUGAAGGAUGGGGUUCUGACCAGCGCAGAAGAACAGAAGAAGGACGGUUACACACGCAGCAGCACCCUGACCCUCAGCAAAGCACUCUGGGAAAAGGGGGAGGAGUUUGUCUGUACGGUCUCCCAUGCCGGCGUCAAUCAUCCGGUCACGUUCAGAAAGAGCCAGUGUGACGCCUAACAGCUCCAAGAUAGAAUUUAACACUGAGCUGCUUACACAUCCAUCUACAAUAGAGUUUCAGUUCUACACAAUGCUGACAUUUCUGUCUUUACUCUCUUCACUGUCCUGUUGCUCUUCCUGUAGUUUUGCUCUGCUGAAAUAAAGCUUCAUUUUGGA
Long non-coding RNA from Pangasianodon hypophthalmus (striped catfish), 4658 nucleotides. RefSeq lists it as uncharacterized. The transcript is spliced from 2 exons. The record is from RefSeq and is a predicted model, not a curated record. Lineage: Eukaryota; Metazoa; Chordata; Actinopteri; Siluriformes; Pangasiidae.